Molecule: long non-coding RNA, 444 nt
Organism: Girardinichthys multiradiatus
Lineage: Eukaryota; Metazoa; Chordata; Actinopteri; Cyprinodontiformes; Goodeidae
Exons: 3
Source: RefSeq, a predicted model, not a curated record
AUCAAUCUGAUAUCAGCGCGGAUCUGUCAAAGCAAAGAGAGGGCCGCAGAAUAAAAGAGGGUCUGUGAGAUGGUCUGCACACCUCCUCCCAGCAACAUGCUCCCAGAACACAUCUGAGAAACCAAAAAUGAGAAAGGAUGGAGUAAAUCGUUCUGGGGACUCAGAGGUUCAUAUUGAUCUAACAACCAUCACAAGGAAGCUUAAGGAUUUGACUGUCUUUAAUGAAGCCUUCAGCAAUUUCUCUCAGCAAAGGCCUCCCUGAAGGGCAUGACAGCAAACGCGCUGCCGUCCUGCCACCAGGACAAAAUUAGGACAAGCAUGUGGGCGAGUGACAAGAAGGGUGGUCAAUCAUCAGUGUGCUCUGAAAGAAGAGAGGCAGGCUGAGUGGGCAGGAGAGCUGCAAGAACAGACUUGAAUAAGAAGAAGAUUAAAUGACACUUAUCU